Nicotiana attenuata is the source of this 76-nucleotide microRNA precursor. It matches the Rfam family "MIR6145 microRNA precursor family". NCBI's taxonomy places the organism in Eukaryota, Viridiplantae, Streptophyta, Magnoliopsida, Solanales, Solanaceae. The record is from Rfam.
GCCAGAGGUAUUGUAACAUGAAGCAUUGGCCCCUGAAGGGAUUCCGGCUAGUGCUCGUGUAACACUCCCUCCGGCU